Molecule: ribosomal RNA, 37 nt
Filed under: Ophiocordyceps sinensis
Lineage: Eukaryota; Fungi; Ascomycota; Sordariomycetes; Hypocreales; Ophiocordycipitaceae
Description: partial 28S ribosomal RNA
Source: RNAcentral
GACCUCGAAUCGGGUGGGGUUCCCGCUGAACUUAAGC